Molecule: small RNA, 434 nt
Filed under: Pan troglodytes (chimpanzee)
Lineage: Eukaryota; Metazoa; Chordata; Mammalia; Primates; Hominidae
Description: processed transcript
Source: RNAcentral
GCCUUAGCCUCCUAAAGUUCUGGGAUUACAGGAGCACUUCAAAAAACGUAUCAGAAGAUACUUCGAGAAAAAGAAAGUGCUUUAGAAGCGAAAUACCAAGCAAUGGAGAGAGCAGCGACAUUUGAACAUGACAGAGAUAAAGUUAAAAGGCAAUUCAAGAUUUUUAGGGAGACCAAAGAAAAUGAAAUUCAGGACUUACUGAGGGCCAAGAGGGAGUUGGAGAGCAAACUUCAGAGGCUACAGGCUCAAGGUAUCCAAGUAUUUGAUCCUGGGGAGUCUGAUUCAGAUGACAACUGUACAGAUGUCACUGUAUCAUUGGAAUCUGACCAACAUCCUGGAAUUUUUAUUGCUAACUUUUAAGGAAAAAAAUGAAGGCCGGGCGCGGUGGCUCAUGCCUGUAAUCCCAGCACUUUGGGAGGCCAAGGUGGGCGGAU